RNAcentral lists this ribosomal RNA (493 nucleotides) under uncultured Corynebacterium sp. Its description in RNAcentral is "bacterial SSU rRNA". It matches the Rfam family "Bacterial small subunit ribosomal RNA", at positions 8 to 507 of the family's 1533-position model. The record is from RNAcentral. Lineage: Bacteria; Bacillati; Actinomycetota; Actinomycetes; Mycobacteriales; Corynebacteriaceae.
AGAGUUUGAUCCUGGCUCAGGAUGAACGCUGGCGGCGUGCUUAACACAUGCAAGUCGAACGGAAAGGCCUGUACUUGUACAGGUACUCGAGUGGCGAACGGGUGAGUAACACGUGGGUGAUCUGCCCUGCACUAUGGGAUAAGCUUGGGAAACUGGGUCUAAUACCAUAUAGGACCACUUCUUGGAUGUUGUGGUGGAAAGCUUUUGCGGUGUGGGAUGAGCCUGCGGCCUAUCAGCUUGUUGGUGGGGUAAUGGCCAACCAAGGCGGCGACGGGUAUCCGGCCUGAGAGGGUGUGCGGACACAUUGGGACUGAGAUACGGCCCAGACUCCUACGGGAGGCAGCAGUGGGGAAUAUUGCACAAUGGGCGCAAGCCUGAUGCAGCGACGCCGCGUGGGGGAUGACGGCCUUCGGGUUGUAAACUCCUUUCGCUAUCGACGAAGCCACCUUUGGUGGUGACGGUAGGUAGAUAAGAAGCACCGGCUAACUACGUG